UACGUAGGGCGCAAGCGUUGUCCGGAAUUAUUGGGCGUAAAGAGCUCGUAGGCGGCUUGUCACGUCGGGUGUGAAAGACCGGGGCUUAACCCCGGUUCUGCAUUCGAUACGGGCUAGCUAGAGUGUGGUAGGGGAGAUCGGAAUUCCUGGUGUAGCGGUGAAAUGCGUAGAUAUCGAGAGGAACACCUGCGGCGAAGGCGGGUUGCUGGGCUGAUACUGACGCUGAGGCGCGAAAGCCAGGGGAGCGAACGGG
This 253-nucleotide ribosomal RNA is filed under the name uncultured bacterium. RNAcentral's name for it is "partial 16S ribosomal RNA". It matches the Rfam family "Bacterial small subunit ribosomal RNA", at positions 524 to 776 of the family's 1533-position model. The record is from RNAcentral.